UAGGGAAUCUUCCGCAAUGGACGCAAGUCUGACGGAGCAACGCCGCGUGAGUGAAGAAGGAUUUCGGUUCGUAAAACUCUGUUGUUAGAGAAGAACAGCGCAUAGAGUAACUGUUAUGCGUGUGACGGUAUCUAACCAGACAGCCACGGCUAACUACGUGCCAGCAGCCGCGGUAAUACGUAGGUCCCGAGCGUUGUCCGGAUUUAUUGGGCGUAAAGCGAGCGCAGGCGGUUAGAAAAGUCUGAAGUGAAAGGCAGUGGCUCAACCAUUGUAGGCGAUGGGAGCUGGGUAGCUUGAGUGCAGGAGGGGAGAGUGGAAUUCUAUGUGUAGCGGUGAAAUGCGUAGAUAUAUGGAGGAACACCGGUGGCGAAAGCGGCUCGCUGGUCUGUAACUGACGCUGAGGCUCGAAAGCGUGGGGAGCGAACAGG
Molecule: ribosomal RNA, 428 nt
Filed under: Bacteroidota bacterium
Lineage: Bacteria; Pseudomonadati; Bacteroidota
Description: Bacteroidetes bacterium partial 16S ribosomal RNA
Rfam family: Bacterial small subunit ribosomal RNA
Source: RNAcentral